Molecule: ribosomal RNA, 252 nt
Filed under: uncultured bacterium
Lineage: Bacteria
Description: partial 16S ribosomal RNA
Rfam family: Bacterial small subunit ribosomal RNA
Source: RNAcentral
UACGUAGGGGGCGAGCGUUGUCCGGAUUUACUGGGCGUAAAGGGUGAGUAGGCGGUAACGUGUGUCAGAUGUUUAAUCUAUGGGCUCAACCCAUAUCAGCAUUUGAAACUGCGUAACUUGAGUGCAGGAGAGGUAAGUGGAAUUCCUAGUGUAGCGGUGAAAUGCGUAGAUAUUAGGAGGAACACCAGUGGCGAAGGCGACUUACUGGACUGUAACUGACGCUGAGACACGAAAGCGUGGGGAGCGAACAGG